RNAcentral lists this non-coding RNA (85 nucleotides) under Paramoeba aestuarina. The record is from RNAcentral. Lineage: Eukaryota; Discosea; Flabellinia; Dactylopodida; Paramoebidae.
ACAAAAAGAAAAAGAAAGGAAAAACAAAAACAACAAGAAAAAUCUCAAGAGAUCUUAUUUGUCGACUUGUUUUCUUUGGUUUCUU